Molecule: long non-coding RNA, 3880 nt
Organism: Lepisosteus oculatus (spotted gar)
Lineage: Eukaryota; Metazoa; Chordata; Actinopteri; Semionotiformes; Lepisosteidae
Source: RefSeq, a predicted model, not a curated record
GAGCCAUUCAGCCAUGGCCCCAGAGCGCCCGGCUAAGGCUGCUGGACAUCAGAACUGAGCCAGGCCCAUCGUUCAUCAGAACCUGACUUCAGUGGCAAAAUUUCUCUUUUUUUAACCUACCUUUAGCUGUUCAGUCUUGUUUUUGGCAGACUGUGCACACAGGUCUAUUUUGUCUGAACCUUGUGAUGCUGAACUCCUCCUUCUGGCCCUGAACAAGAUCUAUCUGUAUUCAGUGCACUUCAACAAAAAUAAAAUAAAGGGCUCCGAUGCCUGUGGCGCAGUGUUCUAGGGUGAACCUCAGGAAGGGCGCUAUAGAUUAGAUCGAGUCUCCUCUUUUUUUAUGCACAAGGCAAAGUAAAAAUUCCCCCUUGCCCCUCUGGCUCCCCCUCCCUCUCCACGGGAGAGGCUGAACUGAUUUUAACAGGACUGGCUUCCCUUCAGUGCCCGAGGUUGGAUGGUGUUUGCAAGCUUAUGUUCUUGAUACAGCACCUAUGUAGGAUUUAUGGAGACUUGGUGGAAAAUUGCAGAUGUUUAGUUUUGUGGCCCACAUGAUUAAAUCAGACCUAUAGGGCUAAGGGAAACAGAUUCUGGUCGGUGAUAUAAUUGAAUUUUUAUUAUUGUUUCACAAGGUAAAUUUUACCCUUUGGAAUUAGAUGAAAGAGACACUGUAAUGUGAUACAUUAAUCAUACAUACGGUCUAAAUAUUAGGCAAAACCAGCCAAGGCUUUAGCUUGUGAAAGACCAUUUCACUGGGCCUGAGCUAUUUUGAAAAAAAAAUAAAUAGAAUUCUUUAACAAUAACUGAUCCCAGCCCCUUGGUUCAAGUUACAAUCUCCCUUCAAUUUACACAGAAGAGUACAAAUGUGAGGACUUUGUUCCCACAGAAAAACAGAUGACCAAGCUUUGCGAGGCACUCUCUUCAGAUGUCUGAAUAUGAGUCAAAAGGAAGUGCAAUUAAUCUUCUUGGAAGAGAAGGAAUAUCAGGUGGUUCAAAGGUUUCAUGUUUCACCCAUGAGGGGACACCAUACAGUAUGUGAGUGGACCAGCGUUCUAAGACAGUUGUGUGGUUCAUUACUGGAGGGUGACGCUGGGUACUUCUGUUGGGAGUGUUUGUUGAAUCAUCUGCUUGCUGAUGUUGGAGGCCACAUUUUCAGUAUAAAAAUAAAAUGAGUAACUAUCAAAAAUCAUUUUGCAUCUCUCCCCAGAUUUAGAUAUAUAAAUUGAAUAAAAAAUGUGCACAUUGAAAUAUGUAUAAAUCACAAAUUAAAUGAAUUAUUUUCCUCAUUUAAACUCUGUGGAUGUGAGGCGGCAUGCAGAGAUCAUUAUAGCAAUGAUAGCAAUAUCUAUGUAUUUGCAUGUUAAAGGAAUUCAGCAUUGCAUUUGUGCCGUUUAAGAUAAUGUGACAGUUGGGAGCACUGUGGCAAGCUAUUCUGACACGGAAAUGUGUGCGGCAGCAUAGCAGCUCAUAAAUGCAAUGUCCCUUCAUUGUGCUGUAUAGCAGACUGCAGGCUAUUACUAAUUGAAGGAUGCAGCCCUAUUGUAAUGUAAAUUGUCUUCAUGUUGCGGUUAACGGUAUAAUCAUUUUUACUGUCCAACAAGAUAAGGAUUGAAGAUGCCCAAGAAAGGGAAAAAAAAGAUGUCCUGUCUGCUGGGGAAGGAAUGUUAGAAAUAGAGAAGGAGCCCCAAGAACCUGUCAUCUGCGUUUUAUCACACAUAUCAAAGUCAAAGGCCUUUCCCAGGAAUCCCUCCGCUGUGCUGUGGAGUUACUGGAACCCUUGAAAGGUGAGGGUGUCAGAAAGCCGCUGAGAGAGCAGCAGCCCAGUGGUGCCCAUGACUCACUGCAUCACAGCACCGAUGCUGAUGGGUUAUCCUGUUGUAGCAAGAGCGACUGGCAGUUAACGUCAAAUUAUUAAAUUAGCUACACCGGAUUAUUCCGCAGUUCCACGUGCUUGUGUAGCUGUUGAUGUACGGGGCAAAGAUGAACAACGGUCGACAAAAUAAUGAUGUUUAAAACUUUUCACGCUUACAAAAUAUUGAGAAUAAAUAAUGCAAAACAAUCUAUUGCAUUUUGCAAAUAUAAAAUAGUUGCUUUUCAUUCAUUAACAAAACUGUAUACAACAACUAAACACUUGCUAUACUGUUCAUUGCAUACUGUCAUGACCACAAUAGUGCAUGUAUCUGAACAUCAUCAUUAGCUGGGAUGCACUGCUUGGAUUUGUGUAAUUGUAUUUUCCAGUAGCAGGAAGAAAGCAAACGAAAAGGGUGUGAAGAACAGGAAGCCUUUCACCCAUUGAGCCCUGCAAACAAAAGACAGGUCAAUACAGUGUCCUGCAAACAAAACUGAAUCACCAGAAAUGCUGAGACAAUGACAGUACUGAAAUGCCUCCAUCACUGUAAAACUAACACUAGCGCAGUUUUAUAUUUCCCAGAAGGUGCCGGACCUCCCAAAGAUGGAAAUUACAGGACGGUGAAGCUGACUGCCUCUUCCGCGUGUUUUCUCUGAGUGAGUAAGGACCCGCAGUUUGAAUCUGCUUUAUGAAAGCAUAAGGGUCUCAUUUCCUUUCUUAAAUCUACUAAAGAAUCAGACCUCUGUUUGAGCAUUAAAGAAAGUGCAGCCAGAGAGACGUUGUCAACCGAAUGUGUAUGUCUGUGGAUACCAGGCAGUGUGUAUGGCUGCUUCUGCUCUGCAAACAAGACCUCACUUUCCUUUUGCACAGACAGCACACCUCCGAGCGUCUUGCAUGUUUGCAGACCCAGAGAGCUGGGCAGCUCGAUUCCGAUAGACAGCACAAGGAGCUGGAGCGGCACGCUGCAUUCCAACACCGGAAGCACGGCACUCUGGAGGCAGGUUGGUCUUCUCCCUCUAAUCUGAUACAGGAGAGCGAUGGGAAGAAGGAUCAGCUCCAGUCCUCGGAUGAUUUAUGUUUCGGGACAUGUUAAUAAAAAUAUCAAAACAAUCAGGAUUCUGCGGGAAGAGAUACUGCCCUGUUCCGUACAUCAUAUAAGACAGUCCUGACCAAUGUUUCACCUCUUGAGAGGCACUCUAACAUUUCCUGUUCUCGUCACUAAUCCAGCCUGAGCGCCAUGCUUCUGGAUGGAACUACCCUGGCCCUGGAGCUGCAAAGCAAGGAGAGAAUGCAAAACCAGAGGGCAGAAAGCAAUCAGCGCACUUGCCCUCACCAUGGAAAAUUACCCAGGCCGAUUAUCUGAUCGUUGUGCUGCUGCUGAAUCCAGCACCCAGUAAUGUGUAAGUUUAGUAGCAGCGCAGACUGCAGUCCUGCACUCCACCCCACAAGCUCAAAUGGGACCGAGCAACAGCCAUUAGGACAUCAGGAGGGUGUGGGGAUUUUCAGGACAGUCUUCUUUCUAGAGCGCAUCAGAGAACUGGGACUGUUGUUUCCUAAAGCACCCUGGAUUUCACUGUAGUCGCAACUCCUCCAAAACAUCAGCAGGAAAUGAGAAACAAAUAAUAAGAACCAUAACUAAUAAUGUUGCUGGUUUAAAAAGACAAUGCCCUCAGUGGAAUAAGGACAUUUCAUAUCGGCCCAUCCUUUAGUGGAUCGAGAGAGCACUAAUAUCUCACGCACUUUUCUGCUAAGCAACCUGAUCAUGGUCAUCAAUCAAUGUGACUGGACCGUGACAGCAGGGAGAGUUUCUAUGAAGGAAUCAGUAGAGCUGUGGUGCUCUGUUGUAACUUCAUCAUGUCCUAAAUAAAGUGCAAUAAUUAAGGCAAAAGACUAGAUUUUCCACACUCCAAGAGAAAUGAAUAACCUCAACCAGUGUUGAUCAUGUCAGCUCUUCACAGUGGUGCGCAUAUUGAAGCAUUACACUUUCUCAUGUAUUGUUCUGAAAGGUGUUAAUGAAAUGGCAAGAGAAGACGA